RNAcentral lists this ribosomal RNA (1069 nucleotides) under Alcaligenes sp. RNAcentral describes it as "bacterial SSU rRNA". It matches the Rfam family "Bacterial small subunit ribosomal RNA", at positions 63 to 1095 of the family's 1533-position model. Lineage: Bacteria; Pseudomonadati; Pseudomonadota; Betaproteobacteria; Burkholderiales; Alcaligenaceae. The record is from RNAcentral.
CGAACGGUAGCACGAGAGAGCUUGCUCUCUUGCCGGCGAGUGGCGGACGGGUGAGUAAUGUAUCGGAACGUGCCCGGUAGCGGGGGAUAACUACUCGAAACAGUGGCUAAUACCGCAUACGCCCUACGGUUGAAAGGGGGGGAUCGUCGAACCUCUCACUAUCGGAGCGGCCGAUAUGGGAUUAGCUAGUUGGUGGGGUAUUGGCUCACCAAGGCAACGGUCCGCUACUGGGUUGAAGAGGAGACCAGCCUAACUGGUGAUGAGACACGGUCCAAACUCCUUACGGAAGGAGCUGGGGGGGAAUUUGGACAAUGGGGCUAACCCUGAUUGCGCCAUCCCCCGUUUUUUGAAAAAGCCUUCGGGUUGGUUAAGUACUUUUGGGCAGAGAAGUAUGGUGAUCCCCUAAUUCCGGUUACUGAUUGACGUUAUCUGCAGAUUUAGGCACCGGCUAACUCCGUGCCAGCAGCCGCGGUAAAUACGUAGGGUGCAAGCGUUAAUCGGAAUUACUGGUCGUAAAGCGUACGCAGGCGGUUCAUAAAGUAAGAUGUGAAAUCCCUGGGCUCAACCUGGGAUCUGCAUUUUUAACUGCCGAGCUAGAGUAUUUUAGAGGGGGGUAGAAUUCCACGUGUAGCAGUGUAAAUGCGUAGAUAUGUGGAGGAAUUACCGAUGGGCGAAGGCCGCCCCCCUGGGAAUAUGACUGACGCUCAGACACGAAAGCGUGGGGAGCAAACAGGAUGAGAUACCCUGGUAGUCCACGCCGUAAACGAUGUCGCUAGCUGUUGGGUGCCCUUAGACCUUGGUAUCGUGCGCUAACCCGUAGAUCAACCGCCCUGUGGGAGUACACCUCGCCUAGUUAAAAUCCUCAAGGUAUUGGAGGAGGGUACCCGCCAUACGGGGGGAUGACUGCGCGGUCAAUUCUCAUUGCAUACGCGCAAUAAUAACCUUACCCACACCUUGAACGUCCAACAAAUGCGUAUAAGAAUUAGAACGAUGCCCGUCAGAGUACCGUACACUGUGCAUGCAUGACUGUCGUCAGCUCUGUUCGGAAUGUCGGUUAUGCAGCUACAGA